RNAcentral lists this ribosomal RNA (441 nucleotides) under uncultured bacterium. RNAcentral's name for it is "partial 16S ribosomal RNA". It matches the Rfam family "Bacterial small subunit ribosomal RNA", at positions 338 to 795 of the family's 1533-position model. The record is from RNAcentral.
CCUACGGGGGGCAGCAGUGGGGGAUAUUGCACAAUGGGGGGAACCCUGAUGCAGCGACGCCGCGUGGGUGAAGGAGUGCUUCGGCAUGUAAAGCCCUAUCGGCAGGGAAGAAGCAAGACGGUACAUGACUAAGAAGCCCCGGCUAACUACGUGCCAGCAGCCGCGGUAAUACGUAGGGGGCGAGCGUUAUCCGGAUUCACUGGGUGUAAAGGGAGCGUAGACGGCCAUGCAAGCCAGGGGUGAAAGCCCGGGGCCCAACCCCGGGACUGCCCUUGGAACUGUGCGGCUAGAGUGCGGGAGGGGCAGGCGGAAUUCGUGGUGUAGCGGGGAAAUGCGUAGAUAUCAGGAGGAACACCGGCGGCGAAGGCGGCCUGCUGGACCGCGACUGACGUUGAGGCUCGAAAGCGUGGGGAGCGAACAGGAUUAGAUACCCCAGUAGUC